Molecule: long non-coding RNA, 3060 nt
Organism: Oncorhynchus tshawytscha (Chinook salmon)
Lineage: Eukaryota; Metazoa; Chordata; Actinopteri; Salmoniformes; Salmonidae
Source: Ensembl
GUAGUACACAGCGUUGUACAGGAUCUUCAGUUUCUUGGUAAUUUCUCACAUGGAAUAGCCUUCAUUUCUCAGAACAAGAAUAGACUGAUGAGUUUCAGAAGAAAGGUCUUUGUUUCUGGCCAUUUUGAGCCUGUAAUUGAAUCCACAAAUGCUGAUGCUCCAGAUCCUCAAAUAGUCUAAAGAAGGCCAGUUUUAUUGCUUCUUUAAAUAGGAAACAGUUUACAGCUGUGCUAACAUAAUUGCAAAAGGGUUUUCUAAUGAUCAAUUAGCCUUUUAAAAUUAUAAACUUGGAUUAGCUAACACAACGUGCCAUUGGAACACAGGAGUGAUGGUUGCUGAUAAUGGGCCUCUGUACGCCUAUUUAGAUAUUCCAUUAAAAAUCAACCGUUUCCAGCCACAAUAGUAAUUUCCAACAUUAGCAAUGUCUACACUGUAUUUCUGAUCAAUUCAAUGUUAUUUUAAUGGAUGAAAAAUGUGCUUUUCUUUCAAAAAUAAGGACAUUUCUAAGUGACCCCUUACGUUUGAACGACCAAUGGCUGCAUCCCAAAUUGCACCCUAUUGUCACGGACGUCGUUGUGGAAAUGACCGGACCAAGGUGCAGAGUGGUGAGAGUACAUUUUCCUUUAUUUAUGUAAAUGUCGCCAACAAAACAAGAAACAAAGAAACAACCGUAAAGCUUACUAGGGCUAUAGUGCCACUAACAAAGUCAAUUACCCACAAAAUACAAAGGAUAAAAGGCUGCCUAAGUAUGAUUCCCAAUCAGCGACAACUAUAGACAGCUGUCCCUGAUUGAGAACCAUACCUGGCCAAAAUAUAGAAACAGAAAACAUAGAAAUAAAGAAACUAGAAUGCCCACCCUAGUCACACCCUGGCCUACCCAAAAUAGAGAAUAAAAGCCUCUCUAUGGCCAGGGCGUGACACCUAUUCCCUUUAUAGUUUACUACUUUUGACCAUGUUACCAUUACUGUAUUAUACCAAUGACAUUCUGCUGAGCCUGAUUUCCCUUAGAAAGUUGGUCAACAUCUGUGCCAGUUUCAGUACCAUCUGUUCAUCUCUGUCACUUUUUUGUUCUGAUCCUCAAGUUCAAAAUGAAAGUAAUUAACUGCUGCUGUAUUUUGUUGCGCAUUCCUUGGACCCUUGUACAUUUUAGAUCUGUUUAUUCAUAGGAACUAAUUCAUGAUGUGUAUUGCCAAAUAUAAGAUUUCAAAUCAUUGUUUAUUCACUGCAGCUAACCUGUAAGUUUGAGGGAGGUGCGAGUGUAACAGGUUUAUUCUAGAGGCUAUUGUUAGGGCAUCUCUCAAUGGGGAUGUUAUAGUAAAGGUAUAAAAAUGGAAAAUCUAUAGAUUCCCCGGUAAAUGUCUGAAUUCUCUGUCUCACUGGUAAAUCUAAAAGAUUUCCUGAUUUACCACUGCGACUGACAAUCUAUAGAUUUACAGUUUUUACACGUUUACCGUAACAGAGUACCAAGCUAGUCAUUGUGGUACAACUCCUGGCUAUGAUGGGUGACACCAUUGUAAGUUAACUAUUGAAUGAUAUGUCUCCCAUGAAACAAUAGUCUGCUUAGAUUAGACUAAUGCAAAGCUGAACAGACUGAUACACGAUACAGGUAACCAAUAAACUUUAUUGGUGAAUAAAUAGGUUAUUUCUUUACUAUACAAGUGACAUUUACAUCUGUAAAAUUCAAUCUCUCAACACCAACCACAUCUUGACCCCAAAAAUGGCUACAAAUCUCUCAAACAAAUGGAAAAAAAACACAAAGUGAUUGACAGCAUUUCAAUUGUUAAAAUUGCAUUAGAUUAUGUCAUCCUCUCAAUAAAUUACUGUCAUAUAAAGUGCUUUAUAUUCUUUAUCAAAAAACUUGACAUAAUUUGAUCACAUUAAAGGGUGAGGACAUGAGGUGGUCACAAAAAUGACAGUCUGAAUAAACUUGCUUGUUUGGUCUCAUUCUAUGAACUUAUAUAUGGUGUGUCGUUACACUUUUGGUAACACUUUAUUUUGAUUGUCCCAAGUAGAUGUUCAAUAACUAUCAACAACAUUUCAACUAUCCAUUAACCCUAGCUCUAACCUUAUCCUAACCCAAAUCUUUACCUUAACCCUUACCCUAACGGUUAUUCCAAACCUAACCCUAACUGUAACCUUAGCAAGCAGUUGCUUAUCAACAUACAGUAUAGUUUGUUCAAUCUCCUCUGUUUUCUCAGUGGCAGCUGUAAGCUGUGGUCGUGUCAGUGGUGGUCUCGUCUCAAAACUAAGACUGUUCUGCCUUGUUGUUCUGCAUAGUUAUUAGAGGAAGGAAAGAUAGGAAGGCUCCCACACCACACACUCACUUCAGUAUCUUACCUAGUUAUUUUCAGAUGAUCUCAUUUUGCUCUUUUGUGGCUUUGGAAACUGUGUGUUUUCUAUACCUGUCCACUCCUCUCCCUGUAGGCUUCAAAGACUCUCCCCGCCAUUUGGUUGCAACCAUUCUAAUUUAGUGUACCUUGCACGUGCAAUCCAUGUGCAAUUCCUGGUCUCUGGCAGCUUUUGGAACUGCCGAUCUGCAGUCAAGAACGGCAAGUUUAUUUCAGCUUAUGGUACACUUCAGUCCGUUGACUUUUCGGCCCUGACGGAGACAUGGAUCACCCCAGAGAACACUGCUACUCCAGCUGCUCUCUCUUCAUCUGACUAUGUUUUCUCUCAAAGUCUGAGAGCAUCUGGUCGUCGCGGUGGUGGCACAGGGCUACUCGUUUCUCCUAAGUGGAAAUGUUCUAUUUUCUCCCUCACUCACCUGUUCUCAUUUGAAUUCCAUGCUGUCACUGUCACUUGUCCACUCAAGCUUAACAUUGUUGUCAUCUAUCCCCUGCAGGUGCCCUUGGAGAGUUCCUCAAUGAGCUUGACACCUUGAUAUGGUGUUUUCUUGGUGAUGACUCACCGCUCUUCAUACUUGACGACUUCAACCUCCCCGACAUCUGCCUUCGAUUUCUUUCUUUCCCCUCCUUGCCUCUUUUGACCUCAGCCUUUCCCAGUCCCCUCUCACUCACAAGGCAGGCAAUAUGCUUGACCUCAUUUUUCUACUAAUCUCAC